This 261-nucleotide unclassified non-coding RNA is filed under the name uncultured fungus. Its description in RNAcentral is "partial contains 5.8S ribosomal RNA, internal transcribed spacer 2, and large subunit ribosomal RNA". The stretch from base 1 to 52 matches the Rfam family "5.8S ribosomal RNA", at positions 103 to 154 of the family's 154-position model. The record is from RNAcentral. Lineage: Eukaryota; Fungi.
AACGCACAUUGCGCCCGCCAGUAUUCUGGCGGGCAUGCCUGUUCGAGCGUCAUUUCAACCCUCAAGCCCCUCUGGGCUUGGUGUUGGGGAUCGGCCGCAGCGUACCCCGCCGCGGCCGGCCCCGAAAUUCAGUGGCGGCCACGCUGUAGCGUCCCCUGCGUAGUAGCAACACCUCGCACUGGAUCGCGGCGCGGCCCCGCCGUAAAACCCCCAACUCUGAAUGUUGACCUCGGAUCAGGUAGGAAUACCCGCUGAACUUAA